Small nucleolar RNA from Dunckerocampus dactyliophorus (ringed pipefish), 134 nucleotides. The record is from RefSeq and is a predicted model, not a curated record. Lineage: Eukaryota; Metazoa; Chordata; Actinopteri; Syngnathiformes; Syngnathidae.
CCUGAGGCCUAUCCCGACCUAGCUUAGCUGUAGGCCUGUGUCGUUGGAAAUGCCUCAAAGAACAAAACUGUAGUUUCGCUUUACCCACACUGUUCUUUACCAUGAACCCCGUGGGAUAUCACUGCAGAACAUUA